GACGAACGCUGGCGGCGUGCUUAACACAUGCAGGUCGAACGGAAAGGCCCUGCUUUUGUGGGGUGCUCGAGUGGCGAACGGGUGAGUAACACGUGAGUAACCUGCCCUUGACUUUGGGAUAACUUCAGGAAACUGGGGCUAAUACCGGAUAGGAGCUCCUGCUGCAUGGUGGGGGUUGGAAAGUUUCGGCGGUUGGGGAUGGACUCGCGGCUUAUCAGCUUGUUGGUGGGGUAGUGGCUUACCAAGGCUUUGACGGGUAGCCGGCCUGAGAGGGUGACCGGCCACAUUGGGACUGAGAUACGGCCCAGACUCCUACGGGAGGCAGCAGUGGGGUAUAUUGCACAAUGGGCGGAAGCCUGAUGCAGCAACGCCGCGUGCGGGAUGACGGCCUUCGGGUUGUAAACCGCUUUCGCCUGUGACGAAGCGUGAGUGACGGUAAUGGGUAAAGAAGCACCGGCUAACUACGUG
RNAcentral lists this ribosomal RNA (468 nucleotides) under uncultured bacterium. Its description in RNAcentral is "partial 16S ribosomal RNA". It matches the Rfam family "Bacterial small subunit ribosomal RNA", at positions 28 to 507 of the family's 1533-position model. The record is from RNAcentral.